This is a long non-coding RNA of Aquila chrysaetos chrysaetos, 1560 nucleotides long. RefSeq lists it as uncharacterized. The record is from RefSeq and is a predicted model, not a curated record. The transcript has 2 exons. Lineage: Eukaryota; Metazoa; Chordata; Aves; Accipitriformes; Accipitridae.
AGUUCUUAGCAGAAGGUUUAUCACUACUUUCCAGUCCAGAUGUCAUCUCCGCAACCCAUGCUUUCAUUUCUUCCCAUGCGGUUAGAUUCUGCUGCCAGGCUAUUUCUCAUGUUUGUGCAUACUUGAUUUUUGCAACCAGAGAAACGUGCAUAGUACAGUAUGUUUAUCCUGUGCUCAUCUGCAUUGAGAAGGCUGAAGCUUAUCCUACAACAUUGUCUGCUGCCCUCACUUCCUAAGAUCAAAUCAGUUUUUUGUAUCAUCUUCAUCUGAGUCCAUGUAUGAAGAAAAUCUCAACACAGACAAUCCUGGGUUAUACUCCUAGAACCAUGGUGAAAACACUGCAGAACAGCUCCUGCUCUGUACAGACCAAGGCUGGAGGUGUGCAAACUGCUCAUCACCCACAUUUAGUGUGCUGAAAAGACACACCCAAAAGAAGGGGUAGAGGAUCCUGCUAAACAAGUUACCAUACCUGCAGCUUUCUGCACUGAGAUUUUUCACUGCAACUAGAACAGCAGGUCUUUGGGCCAUCAAUAAGCAUUUGAUUCAGCUGAACUUUCUUGAGGUCACUGGUGUAAAACUGAAUCAAAGCAAGCUGCCUUAACUAUCAAUUCUUCUGCCCCUCGGUGCUAUAAUUAAGUCUGUAUAUGUGAAAUUAGAAGAAAAAGCUUGUAUCCUGGUGGCUGAGAAGUCUGUCAUCUUGUGAUGCAUCAUAAGAUGUUUGGAUUUACAUGAUAAUCACUUUGUUUUGCUCAGUGUUCUUGUGCCACAUCUCAUGGUGUCUCAUGACAGAGAACUCAGGAGUUGGCUCAUGUUUUGCCCAUACCAUUGUCUCUAAACUUGCAUAAAAUUCCCUGGUUUAUGAGGAACAGAGUGAUACUGUUAACUUUUUUCUUUUUUUUUUCUUUUCUUUUACCAGAUAUGAAGGGUUCAGUUUUUCUUCUGUGAUUCCCAGAACUGGAACCAAAAGUGAAUGUUCACCUGGCCACAUGCCCGAGCUGCAAGGCUGGUCUGACAGAGGUGCCCAGCACAGCAGCCCGUCCUCACCAUCCUCAGGGUUUCUGCGCACCCCUGGGUGUUGCUGAGUACACACCCCAGCUGUGACACAUUUGGAUCCUUUCCAUGUCAGCUACAGAAGAAUCCUUCUAUCAUGCAAGGAGAAGUCUGGAAAGGAUAAGCACAUCCUUGUACCUUUCUUUCUUAUUUUUUUUCCUGUGUCAUCAAUGCAUAUUGGAAAAGAAAAGAAAAUACAACUAAAGCAAUCUAGUUCUAUUUUAGAUGACGACUUGGGAGCCUUACUUUAAGGAACCAGCCUUUUAAACAUUUCAUAGGACAGGAGUGCUAAUCCUGAAGCUAACAUUGCAUGCAGAUUUAUAAAUAGCAUGCAAAGGUUUUGCUGCCAAUAAUCCCUGAAAAACGUAUUGAUAGUUCUCUGGUGCAUGAAGUGAGCUGCUACUGUUAGAGCUCACAGGUGUACAAACUACAAAGAAAAUGAGCUUUCUUUUUUAUUAAAGUCUUAUUUACAAGUGUAAUUUGGUAAUUAAAAAUAUAGAUCUACCAACA